This 341-nucleotide ribosomal RNA is filed under the name uncultured Pseudomonadota bacterium. Its description in RNAcentral is "bacterial SSU rRNA". It matches the Rfam family "Bacterial small subunit ribosomal RNA", at positions 29 to 351 of the family's 1533-position model. Lineage: Bacteria; Pseudomonadati; Pseudomonadota. The record is from RNAcentral.
AACGAACGCUGGCGGCGUGCCUAACACAUGCAAGUCGUACGAGAAAUCCUGGGCAACCGGGAGAGUAAAGUGGCGCACGGGUGAGUAACGCGUGGGUAACCUACCCUUAAAUUCAGGAUAACUCUUCGAAAGGGGAGUUAAUACCGAAUAAUAUUCCGAUUCCCCCGGGAAUUGGAAUCAAAGGUGGCCUCUGCAUGCAAGCUAUCGUUUAAGGAUGGGCCCGCGUACCAUUAGCUAGUUGGUAGGGUAAUGGCCUACCAAGGCGACGAUGGUUAGCUGGUCUUAGAGGAUGGCCAGCCACACUGGAACUGAGACACGGUCCAGACUCCUACGGGAGGCUG